Long non-coding RNA from Anas platyrhynchos (mallard), 3378 nucleotides. RefSeq lists it as uncharacterized. NCBI's taxonomy places the organism in Eukaryota, Metazoa, Chordata, Aves, Anseriformes, Anatidae. The record is from RefSeq and is a predicted model, not a curated record.
AUAAAUGGUCCUGUUGUGCUGGUUAAUUCCUGUUGCAUCUGUCAAGUAGUGCUUGCAGUAAAUUAAAUCUGUAUGUUAAUAGUAUAUGUGUGUGGCUGAUGGACAAGCGAAAAUCUGUCUGCAAAAAGUGGAUGUCUCCAUGUGCACCUGGACCUGGUGAAAAAAGGCUGGUUGCCUUUGUUACCAGGGGGGAAAAAAAAAAAGAAGAAGAAGAAGAAAAAAUAAAAACAACAACAACAACCAGCUAUAAGUGGGAAUGGAAGUGAAGGGUACAGGAGGGAGAGCUGCCCAGGUCAGGCAGGACAGUCAUCGCAGGGAUGGUGCCCGUGUGUUGCCUACUCUCUAACAUGGGAGGUAAAGAGGAUAAAACCCAGGUUGCCUCACCGUCAGUGCUGGCUGUGUGCUGGUCACCUCUGUUUUAUGACUGGUCAUGCCUACAUCCCUUGACAGUAAAUCCAAGUGGAGGAAGCUGCUCAGAAAGCCUAUGGCACCUUGUUUAGAAAAAUGAAUCAGAAUAACAGGAAAAAACAGCUUGGUGCUUCACUGGAAAUGGGAGGGGAUUCUCCAUUUGCAUACUCACAUCAGAGCAAGCUUGGGAUGGCUGAAGUGAGCAAAUAUCCUUGGCCUUACCAGCGCAGGGCUGUGAGAGCCCGUGCUGCAUUGCAGUGAUGUAAAGGGCAGCUGACAGGGGUCAUACAGGGCUAGAGCAUUGCCCAAAUUCCCCCUUGGCCCCACUGCUGUUAAUUCCCUCCCAGCUGCUUUUCUGCUUCCAGCAGCUGCAUGUCUUGAAGUUUGACACACACAAUGAGUGCUGCCAACUACCUGAACGUAAUGAAUGUGUUUGGCAGGGGGGUUGGGAGAGCAGCGUGGCCUCCUAGGAAACUGGGUUUUAUCACACAUCUGUCACCGCAGAGAGGAAGCACUCAGCACUGAAAUCUCCAUGCUUGUUUUUCUUCCCCUUCACCAGUUCUAUCCUAUAAGCAAAUGAUUCUUCCAAAAAGCUUAUUAAAGGAAAAUACAAAACACUGCGAAACAGGUUUUAGGUGAAUAUCAAGGGAGCUCUGUAAACUGGCUGUUUGGUAGAGGUGACUCUGCACUCACAAGACUUACACAGCCAGAAGAGCAACACUCAACUGUGGAUUCGGGAGGCUGGGACUCCCAUGCCUCUGUCCCAAGGACCCUGCUGCUGCUGUCCCACCCGCAGAGCUCUCUGGAACCUGCUCAGCUCCCUGCAUCAGCCUCUAACAGCAUCCCACAGGAGGGGAAAAAACACACAACCCAUGGAGCCAAGCAGCGUCAUGGAAGGAUGAAACUUAUGCAAACAGAGAUCCACAAAAAAACAGAAUUAAUAAAAUAUAUCCUGCCUAUGCAUUAUGAAACACAUCUGCCUGCAGAGUGAAAUGCCAACUUUAAUUUUUACUUUGGCUUGAGAGAACUGGCUGGGAUGAAAAUGACUGCAUGCAUUGAUGAGCAGCCACCUGCAAAUGUUUGCACACACCUUCUUUUUCCUCUUUGUUUGGAUAUCUGGGUCCAGCAGAGAAUUCAUGGAAGGGUCUGGAAGUACACCUCUGUUUUUUGAAUUCCUUGGAGAUCUUAAUUGAACAGUCUGUAAUCCAGAUGGAGGAAGAGAAUAAAUGCAGCAGCUGAGGCUGGUGGUCCAUCUGCCUGGGGGCAGAUUUAAUGGGUAGGGUUACAGGAGUGAUGCCUUCCCCUCUCUUUUCUCUCUCUCUUUCCCAUUAAUGAUGCAGCAUGUCUUGCUAUUGCUAUGUGAUUGAGACAAGGCCAUGAAGCUUCACAACCCGCCUCUGUAACCAAAGGAGCCAUUUCCAGGCUCAAGCUUUGUGUCUCAGGUCCAGAUAUUCUGGCAAGCUGCCUGAUGAUCUGAAAUGGGAUACCUGCUCUGUGCAGAAAGGUUUCUCUUGGUCCAUGCCAGUACCUUCCUUAUGGAGAGAAACUGGAUCCUUUCUAGCCCUACCACUCUGUGUGGUCUUCUUGAUAUGUAUUCGCAUCCCUGGUAGCUACACGUAUUGCUGAUGCCUAACCUUGAGCAAUGUAAUGUGACAUAGAUCAGAUCCUCAUCAUGUAGAAACAUGAAGCUUUUCCUAGGCUUAUAUUUGCAGUUUUUUCUUUUCACUAAGUCUACAAAGCUCAGGAGAGAAAAAAGUCUAUUGCUGGGGUUAGAAAGCUGCUCUGGAUAUAUGACAUAUCAAAUUUUUAAAUCAGACCAGCCAAGCGCAGUGAAGUGUGUGUGGCACCCCCCAGCUGCAGUAUUACAGCUCUUCAGUGAAUCAUUUGAGCCCCCCCAUCCCAGAUCUCCAUUUAUAAUGAAAAAGAGGUUAAACUUUCAGGACAGCAAACAGCAAGAGGAAAAUUGGGAAGCUUAGAAAUGAAUGGUCCCAGAGUCCCCUCUGGAAGCGGGUGUUGCUGUUACUGGGGCUGUUUCUGAUGCAGUAAAUGCCAGGCAGCUUCAUAUGGGAGAGCACUCUGCUUGACAGAAAGCCAGGUUUUGUACUUUCAAAGUCAGUCUUCAAAACCGUAUCAAUGAGCAAGUAACAGAACUUUCCUGCUAUAAAUAUUUGAACAAUAGUUUGUUAAUUUUUGUUACUCUCAAUGUGAAUUAAUUGCUAUUUUAUCAACUUCAGCUUCUAUUAGUUUAGGAUUUACAUCUUAAAUGAUGAUAUCAGCCUUCAUCUUGAAUAAAACAUUUCGUAACCUAGACAAGUUCAUUAAAUUCUUGAAGGUGAACUGACAAAUUAAAGGCAGCACGAAGACCCUGAUGUGUUUUACAAUUGCAAGAAUACUCAUUUGUAGUUUUACAGAACAACAUCAUGCAUUUCAGAUAUUUCAACUUCAAAUGCAUUGUGAUAAAUACUGCUGCCUUUUGAAAUGAUACUGCUCCUUUUUAUCUCCCAUUAAUAGAUAGACUUCUGCACCUAUCCUCUCCCUCUUCAGAAGCUAAUGAGGUGUCAGUUUAUAUUAUUAAUCACACAAACAACUAAGGAUGUAAUGAAAUAACCCUUUGCAUGUUGCUCUUUUACCCAAUUAAGCUCGACUGGCAUGGGAUUAUCCUUGUGGUCCCAGCACUGACAUUUGUAGUGGCACAUUUACCACAGCCAACCGUGAUUAUCCAGUGCUCUGAGCUGCAAAGACAGAGAAGGGGAGAGACCCUGGGGUAAGGCACGUUUGUGCUGCUAAAUCCAUUCCAGUAAGGGAUGUAAGUGAUUUACCAUGAGGAAGAUGGAAACCCAUGGAAAACCUGCUUGCCUGUCACUUCGGGAAGACUUGGACUGUGUCUGAAGUAGUGCUGUUAAUGGCAGUGUACUUACCACAAUGUAGGGGAGGCAUAAUGAGACCCAGAGAGCAUGCAUACUUAUCUAC